Molecule: non-coding RNA, 71 nt
Organism: Parelaphostrongylus tenuis
Lineage: Eukaryota; Metazoa; Nematoda; Chromadorea; Rhabditida; Metastrongylidae
Source: the annotation of a GenBank genome assembly
GCGUCAGCGGUGCAACGGUUAGCGUAAGUCCCGGAAAGAGUGAGAUCUGGGUUCGAAUCCCGGCUGACGCA